This 274-nucleotide ribosomal RNA is filed under the name uncultured Corynebacterium sp. Its description in RNAcentral is "partial 16S ribosomal RNA". It matches the Rfam family "Bacterial small subunit ribosomal RNA", at positions 524 to 796 of the family's 1533-position model. The record is from RNAcentral. Lineage: Bacteria; Bacillati; Actinomycetota; Actinomycetes; Mycobacteriales; Corynebacteriaceae.
UACGUAGGGUGCGAGCGUUGUCCGGAAUUACUGGGCGUAAAGAGCUCGUAGGUGGUUUGUCGCGUCGUGUGUGAAAUUCCGGGGCUUAACUUCGGGGUUGCAUACGAUACGGGCAUAACUUGAGUGCUGUAGGGGAGACUGGAAUUCCUGGUGUAGCGGUGAAAUGCGCAGAUAUCAGGAGGAACACCGAUGGCGAAGGCAGGUCUCUGGGCAGUAACUGACGCUGAGGAGCGAAAGCAUGGGGAGCGAACAGGAUUAGAUACCCCCGUAGUCC